CCCUUAGAUGUUCUGGGCUGCACGCGUGCUACAAUGAAGCGUCCAACAAGAUGCGAAGCCGAAAGGCUCAGCGGAUCUUUGAAGUCGUUUCGUGACCGGGACAGUUGAUUGCAAUUAUUCGACUCGAACGAGGAAUUCCUUGUAAUCGCGAUUCAUCAUAUCGCGCUGAAUACGUCCCUGCCCUUUGUACACACCGCCCGUCGCUCCUACCGAUUGAGCGAUCCGGUGAAUUAUUUGGAGUGUCCACGCAAGCCAAUCCGUUUACGUGGGUGCGAAAUUUUGUAAACCUUAUCGCUUAGAGGAAGGAAAANUCGUAACA
Molecule: ribosomal RNA, 319 nt
Filed under: uncultured eukaryote
Lineage: Eukaryota
Description: partial 18S ribosomal RNA
Rfam family: Eukaryotic small subunit ribosomal RNA
Source: RNAcentral